GUAGGAGUCCUUAGAUAAGUUGUGGACUGAUUCAAAGCUUAUUUGAAUUAAGAGUCCUAUACUUAUUAGGUCAUAAGAAUUAUCUGUAAAUAGAGAGGGUCUCUACCUAUGGAUGCAUAGAAAUCAAUGUGAGAAAAAAGAGAAAAAGAGAGAGAGAGGCAUGAGAGCUAGUGGGCACCUCUUCCCCCUUGGCAUGUCCUCCUCCUUGCCGCCCAUACUCUCCAAGCCGUGGGCCC
RNAcentral lists this long non-coding RNA (236 nucleotides) under Elaeis guineensis (African oil palm). RNAcentral's name for it is "long non-coding RNA (EGUI_LNC052800)". The record is from RNAcentral. Lineage: Eukaryota; Viridiplantae; Streptophyta; Magnoliopsida; Arecales; Arecaceae.